Molecule: ribosomal RNA, 496 nt
Filed under: uncultured bacterium
Lineage: Bacteria
Description: partial 16S ribosomal RNA
Rfam family: Bacterial small subunit ribosomal RNA
Source: RNAcentral
AUUGAACGCUGGCGGAAUGCUUUACACAUGCAAGUCGAACGGCAGAGGGGGCAACCCCUCGAGAGUGGCGAACGGGUGAGUAAUAUAUCGGAACGUGCCCAGUCGUGGGGGAUAACGUAGCGAAAGUUACGCUAAUACCGCAUACGAUCUAAGGAUGAAAGUGGGGGAUCGCAAGACCUCGCGCGAUUGGAGCGGCCGAUAUCAGAUUAGGUAGUGGGUGGGGUAAAGGCUCACCAAGCCAACGAUCUGUAGCUGGUCUGAGAGGACGACCAGCCACACUGGAACUGAGACACGGUCCAGACUCCUACGGGAGGCAGCAGUGGGGAAUUUUGGACAAUGGACGCAAGUCUGAUCCAGCCAUUCCGCGUGCAGGAUGAAGGCCCUCGGGUUGUAAACUGCUUUUGUACGGAACGAAAAGGUCUCUCUUAAUACGGGGGGCUCAUGACGGUACCGUAAGAAUAAGCACCGGCUAACUACGUGCCAGCAGCCGCCGUAA